CGAACGGGUGAGUAACACGUGGGUAACCUGCCCAGAAGUAGGGGAUAACACCUGGAAACAGAUGCUAAUACCGUAUAACAGAGAAAACCGCAUGGUUUUCUUUUAAAAGAUGGCUCUGCUAUCACUUCUGGAUGGACCCGCGGCGUAUUAGCUAGUUGGUGAGGUAAAGGCUCACCAAGGCAGUGAUACGUAGCCGACCUGAGAGGGUAAUCGGCCACAUUGGGACUGAGACACGGCCCAGACUCCUACGGGAGG
This 255-nucleotide ribosomal RNA is filed under the name Pediococcus pentosaceus. RNAcentral describes it as "partial 16S ribosomal RNA". It matches the Rfam family "Bacterial small subunit ribosomal RNA", at positions 99 to 348 of the family's 1533-position model. Lineage: Bacteria; Bacillati; Bacillota; Bacilli; Lactobacillales; Lactobacillaceae. The record is from RNAcentral.